Molecule: ribosomal RNA, 200 nt
Filed under: uncultured bacterium
Lineage: Bacteria
Description: partial 16S ribosomal RNA
Rfam family: Bacterial small subunit ribosomal RNA
Source: RNAcentral
GAUGAACGCUAGCGGCAGGCUUAAUACAUGCAAGGCGAGGGGGCAGCAAUGUCACCGUCGUACGGGUGCGUAACGCGUAUGUAACCUACCUAUCACUGGGGGAUAGCCCGGGGAAACCCGGAUUAAUACCGCAUAAUACAGGGGGCCCACAUGGGUCUAUUUGUUAAAGAUUUAUCGGUGGUAGAUGGGCAUGCGUUCGA